AUGACUUUGAUCUGCGUCCUCAUCUGGACUCUCCUCUGCUGCUGCUUCACAGAGUCCAGAGGCCAGGUCACAGUGACUCAGCCUGGAGCAGUGAGCUCUGCUCUGGGAGGCUCCGUCUCCAUCAAAUGUAGGACCAGUCAGGAUGUAUAUAGCUCUGACCGUUUAGCCUGGUACCAACAGAGAGAUGGAGAAACUCCUAAACUCCUCAUUUACUCUGCUAGCACUCGAGCAUCAGGGAUUCCAGGUCGUUUUACAGGUAGUGGAUCAAACUCUGACUUCACUCUGACCAUCAGUGGAGUCCAGACUGAAGAUGCAGCAGUUUACUACUGUCAGAGUUAUCAUUAUCAACAGUCAGGAUUGGGAGUCAGUCUGGAGUCUGAAGUCCAGGCUGAAGAGUUUAUUACUGUCACCAGGGUGGUCACAGCUUCCCAUUCAUACAGUGAUACAACGUCGUACAAAAACUUCCCUCAGCUGGAGAGGAACUGA
This is a non-coding RNA of Micropterus salmoides (largemouth bass), 486 nucleotides long. The record is from the annotation of a RefSeq genome assembly. NCBI's taxonomy places the organism in Eukaryota, Metazoa, Chordata, Actinopteri, Centrarchiformes, Centrarchidae.